AGCAGUAGCCGCGGUAAUACGUAGGUGGCAAGCGUUGUCCGGAAUUAUUGGGCGUAAAGGGCUCGCAGGCGGUUUCUUAAGUCUGAUGUGAAAGCCCCCGGCUCAACCGGGGAGGGUCAUUGGAAACUGGGAAACUUGAGUGCAGAAGAGGAGAGUGGAAUUCCACGUGUAGCGGUGAAAUGCGUAGAUAUAUGGAGGAACACCAGUGGCGAAGGCGACUCUCUGGUCUGUAACUGACGCUGAGGCUCGAAAGCGUGGGGAGCAAACAGGAUUAGAUACCCGAGUAGUCCCUGUCUCUUAUAC
This 303-nucleotide ribosomal RNA is filed under the name uncultured bacterium. Its description in RNAcentral is "partial 16S ribosomal RNA". It matches the Rfam family "Bacterial small subunit ribosomal RNA", at positions 507 to 807 of the family's 1533-position model. The record is from RNAcentral.